RNAcentral lists this ribosomal RNA (390 nucleotides) under uncultured bacterium. RNAcentral's name for it is "bacterial SSU rRNA". It matches the Rfam family "Bacterial small subunit ribosomal RNA", at positions 28 to 417 of the family's 1533-position model. The record is from RNAcentral.
GACGAACGCUGGCGGCGUGCUUAACACAUGCAAGUCGAGCGAGGCCCCUCCUUCGGGAGGGUGUCCUAGCGGCGAACGGGUGAGUAACACGUGGGCAAUCUGCCCCUAGCACUGGGAUAACCCCGGGAAACCGGGGCUAAUACCGGAUACGACUUCAGAGGGCAUCCUCCGAGGUGGAAAAGGCUUACUGGCUAGGGAUGAGCCCGCGGCCUAUCAGCUUGUUGGUGGGGCAAUGGCCCACCAAGGCGACGACGGGUAGCCGGCCUGAGAGGGCGACCGGCCACACUGGGACUGAGACACGGCCCAGACUCCUACGGGAGGCAGCAGUGGGGAAUCUUGCGCAAUGGGCGAAAGCCUGACGCAGCGACGCCGCGUGGGGGAUGACGGCCU